AAUCAGCAGUAAUAAGAGCACUGGCCCCAUCAUAUGCUCUAGAGCUGCAAAAAAAAAGUCCCCAGUAGUCUAAUAGCAGUGGGACUACAGACAGAUUUGUGUAAUUUCACAAAGUAUACAAGCUAUAAAUAUUAUGUUUAUUCUAAAGAAGAAAUGUGAAAUGCAGUCAGCAGAUAUAAAAUGUUUAUUUUCCCACUGUCACAUGUAUUUCUUCAUCCUUUUGUGACCUCAGUGUGAUAGUAUCUAAAUAGUUUGCUCUAAAGCACAAGACAUGCUGUGUGAAAAGGCAGGAACAGGAGCACUCACACCACACUAGGAUCUUGACUGGUUGAUCAUCUCUUACUACUUAUGAUUAAGCAAUAAGGAGAGAGGUACAGGGUACUUCCUGGGGAUUAAUAACUGAUAGGGAGGAGUUAAUGGCCUGAGGUGCAGCUGAGGGCCAUUAACCCCAGCUGGUCAUCAAUCCUCAUUAAAAACCUCUGCAACGCAGUUCACCAAACACGGUGAAGGGCAAACCAAUGUUUUAAGCACCUUUGUGAUUCCCCUCUCUGUUGUGUCCUUAAAUUAGUUCUGAUUUAAUUUCUGUUACUUUCUGGGGUAGAUGGUGCUUGUCUUACUGCAGCAGAAGUUCUAGUCAGCUAUGGGUUUAUCUCACCAGUAGCUGUGUGAAAACUGUAGAGUUCAGACCUUUAGAUGUAAGUGAGAGUACUCAAUACUAUAGCAGCAGAAUAAGGGCUGUUUUAGAAAGUCUAGCGUUCACAUGAAAGAGAAGUGAGAGCAGAAUUAGUCUUUGGCCUUCAUUUAAAAGUGUGUGAUCUUGCCCUAUGGCUGCUGAUGAACUCUGUACCCUGUGCAUGGGCUUACAAAAUCAGAAGCCCUCUUCUUCUAGAUCUACACAAAUACCUGAGAGAUGCUGUGGAGAAGGCACUAUCUGUUGAAGGGAGCCAAGUGUGGCACUUUAUUGCGCUGGGAGUCAUGAUUGCUCAGCUGUGAGAUUGCUUCCUGGAAAUCUGUAGUGGAGAAUCAAGCACAGUGCAGCAGCAGCCACAUAUGAAUGUGGUGAGUGAAUAGCUGUGUUUGUGCCUAGGGAAUAGCUGAGGAACUUGGGGAACAGUGGUGUCCUUUUGAGCAUGACUGGCCAGUUGAGGACAUACCAGUUAAAUUGCUCUGAGAACCCAGCUGACAGAUGUCAGUGUGGGUAAGGGUAAAUAAUACAAGUUGGAGGUGGAAGGUUUCAAGGAGGAAGCAAACAAAGAGACAUCAGAAAUAUCCAAACAUGGUGGUUUACAAAGAAUUAAAUCCCCUUUC
Non-coding RNA from Cyanistes caeruleus (blue tit), 1308 nucleotides. The record is from RefSeq and is a predicted model, not a curated record. Lineage: Eukaryota; Metazoa; Chordata; Aves; Passeriformes; Paridae.